Molecule: ribosomal RNA, 922 nt
Filed under: uncultured Bacteroidota bacterium
Lineage: Bacteria; Pseudomonadati; Bacteroidota
Description: bacterial SSU rRNA
Rfam family: Bacterial small subunit ribosomal RNA
Source: RNAcentral
UGGAUCCAGACUUUGAUUAUGGCUCAGGAUGAACGCUAGCUACAGGCUUAACACAUGCAAGUCGAGGGGCAGCAUGACGAUAGCUUGCUAUUGUUGAUGGCGACCGGCGCACGGGUGAGUAACGCGUAUCCAACCUUCCCGUUGCUAGGGGAUAACCUUGCGAAAGUAAGACUAAUACCCUAUGAAGUUCUUCGCAGGCAUCUAAAGAGAACCAAAGAUUUAUCGGCAACGGAUGGGGAUGCGUCUGAUUAGGUUGUUGGCGGGGUAACGGCCCACCAAGCCUACGAUCAGUAGGGGUUCUGAGAGGAAGGUCCCCCACAUUGGAACUGAGACACGGUCCAAACUCCUACGGGAGGCAGCAGUGAGGAAUAUUGGUCAAUGGACGGAAGUCUGAACCAGCCAAGUAGCGUGCAGGAUGACGGCCCUAUGGGUUGUAAACUGCUUUUAUGUGGGAAUAAAGUGAGGGACGUGUCCCUUUUUGUAGGUACCACAUGAAUAAGGACCGACUAAUUCCGUGCCAGCAGCCGCGGUAAUACGGAAGGUCCGGGCGUUAUCCGGAUUUAUUGGGUUUAAAGGGAGCGUAGGCCGUCUUUUAAGCGUGUUGUGAAAUACUGUCGCUCAACGACAGAGGUGCAGCGCGAACUGGGAGACUUGAGUGCGCGGAAUGCAGGCGGAAUUCGUCGUGUAGCGGUGAAAUGCUUAGAUAUGACGAAGAACUCCGAUUGCGAAGGCAGCUUGCAGUAGCGUAACUGACGCUGAAGCUCGAAAGUGCGGGUAUCGAACAGGAUUAGAUACCCUGGUAGUCCGCACGGUAAACGAUGGAUGCUCGCUGUGUGCCCUUGGGUACGCGGCCAAGCGAAAGCGUUAAGCAUCCCACCUGGGGAGUACGCCGGCAACGGUGCAACUCAAAUGAAUUGACGGA